UACGGGGGGAGCAAGCGUUGUUCGGAUUUACUGGGCGUAAAGGGCGCGUAGGCGGUCAGCACAAGUCAGUUGUGAAAUCUCCGGGCUUAACUCGGAAAGGUCAACUGAUACUGUGCGACUAGAGUGCGGAAGGGGCAACUGGAAUUCUCGGUGUAGCGGUGAAAUGCGUAGAUAUCAGGAGGAACACCGGUGGCGAAAGCGCGUAACUGGGUCAUAACUGACGCUGAGGAACGAAAGCCAGGGUAGCAAAAAGG
This 254-nucleotide ribosomal RNA is filed under the name uncultured bacterium. RNAcentral describes it as "partial 16S ribosomal RNA". It matches the Rfam family "Bacterial small subunit ribosomal RNA", at positions 524 to 776 of the family's 1533-position model. The record is from RNAcentral.